This 434-nucleotide ribosomal RNA is filed under the name uncultured bacterium. RNAcentral's name for it is "partial 16S ribosomal RNA". It matches the Rfam family "Bacterial small subunit ribosomal RNA", at positions 29 to 507 of the family's 1533-position model. The record is from RNAcentral.
AGCGAACGCUGGCGGCAGGCCUAACACAUGCAAGUCGAACGAACCUUUCGGGGUUAGUGGCGGACGGGUGAGUACCACGUGGGAACGUGCCUUUAGGUUCGGAAUAACUCAGGGAAACUUGUGCUAAUACCGAAUGUGCCCUUCGGGGGAAAGAUUAAUCGCCUUUAGAGCGGCCCGCGUCUGAUUAGCUAGUUGGUUGAGGUAAUGGCUCACCAAGGCGACGAUCAGUAGCUGUUCUGAGAGGAUGAUCAGCCACAUUGGGACUGAGACACGGCCCAAACUCCUACGGGAGGCAGCAGUGGGGAAUCUUGCGCAAUGGGCGAAAGCCUGACGCAGCCAUGCCGGGUGAAUGAUGAAGGUCUUAGGAUUGUAAAAUUCUUUCACCGGGGACGAUAAUGACGGUACCCGGAGAAGAAGCCCCGGCUAACUUCGUG